RNAcentral lists this ribosomal RNA (1602 nucleotides) under Dermacentor andersoni. RNAcentral describes it as "partial 16S ribosomal RNA". The record is from RNAcentral. Lineage: Eukaryota; Metazoa; Arthropoda; Arachnida; Ixodida; Ixodidae.
AAACUAGGAUUAGAUACCCUAUUAUUUAUGAAGCUAAACAUUGUAAGUAAAUGUUAAUUAUGAAAGCAAAAAAUUAUGGCGGUAUCUUAAGCUUUUCAGAGGAAUUUGCUCUAUAAUGGAUAAAACGCCUAAACCUUACUUUGACUAGUAAAAUCAAUUUGUAUACCACUAUUAAAAUAAUAACAUACAACUAUUAUUUCAAUAUAAUUUAUAUAAAAAAUUAAGUCAAGGUGCAGUAAAAGUCAAUGAAUGAAGUGAAUUACAUUUCUUUUUAGAAAAGAAAAAUGAAAAGUAAAUUAGGAUUUGAAAGUAAAAUUAAAAUAAAAUGUUAAUUUGAAUUAAGCUCUAAGAUAUGUACAUAUCGCCCGUCACUCUUUUUAAGAUAAGUCGUAACAAAGUUAAAAUACUGGAAAGUGUUUUAAAAAAAAAAAAAUGAAAUCAUUAGAUGUYUCACUUACAAUGAAAAUUUGUAUUAAUAUACCAUUUUUUUUUUUAAAUUAUAACAAAAUUAUAACAUAGAAAGUAAUUUUAUUAAAAUUUAUUAAUUAAUUAAUUAUAAUAAAACUGUAAAGGAAUUUUUUUUUUAAAAAUUUAAAAGUAAAUUCAAUGUACCUUUUGCAUAAGGGAUUUUUAAAAAAAAUUAAAAUUUUAAUUUUCUCGAAAUAAAUUGAUCUAAAAUAAAAUAUGUAAUUUAUGUUUCAUUAUAAAUUUUAAUUUUAUUUUAGUUGUGAAAUGCUUGUCAAAAUUUAAGAUAACUAGUUUAAAAAAAAAAUUUAAUAUUAACCUAUAAAUAAAUUUUUUAUUAUUAAUUUUAUAGGUAAAAAUCUUAGGGAUAAGCUGAAGAUUAAAUUUUUAAUAAUUAAAGUAAGUUUUAAUAUAAGAAAUAUAAUUGUUCUUUAUAUUGUUAUAAGUAAAUUAAAAUAAUAGUUUAUAAUUAAUUUAUUUUUAAAUAUAAAAUAAAGAAUUUUUUUUUUAUUUUAGAAUAUGAAAAUAUUAGUAAAAUUAUUUAAAAUUAAAAAUAAAAAAAAAAGUUAAAAGUUAUAAAUUUAUAAAAUAAAAUAAGUUUAAAUAAUUCGGCAAAAUUUUUCUUUGACUGUUUAAUAAAAACAACUUAUUCAGAUUUUAAUUUUAUUGAAUAUAAAUCCUGCUCAAUGAUUUUUUUUUUAAAUUGCUGUAGUAUUUUGACUAUACAAAGGUAUUGUAAUAAGAUUUUAAUUGAAUGCUAAGAGAAUGGAAUUUCAGGGAAAAACUGUUUUAAACUUAAAAAUUAAAUUUAUUUUAAUUUGUGAAGAAACAAUUAUUUAAAUUAAGGACAAGAAGACCCUAAGAAUUUUAAAGAUAAUAAUUUUAAUAUUAAAAUUAUUAUCUUUUGGUUGGGGCAACUAAAAAAGAUUAUAAACUUUUUAUUUAAUAAAAUGAUCCAUUAUUAAUGAUAAUUUGAUAAAAAUACUCUAGGGAUAACAGCGUAAUAAUUUUUGAUAGAACAUAUAGACAAAAUAGUUUGCGACCUCGAUGUUGGAUUAGGAUACUUUUUUAAUGAAGAUGUUAAAAAAAGAAGUUUGUUCAACUUUUAAAGUCCUACUUGAUCUGAGUUCAGACCGG